Molecule: ribosomal RNA, 468 nt
Filed under: uncultured bacterium
Lineage: Bacteria
Description: partial 16S ribosomal RNA
Rfam family: Bacterial small subunit ribosomal RNA
Source: RNAcentral
GACGAACGCUGGCGGCGGGCUUAACACAUGCAAGUCGAACGGAAAGGCCCUGCUUGUGUGGGGUGCUCGAGUGGCGAACGGGUGAGUAACACGGGAGUAACCUGCGCUGGACGUUGGGAUAACUUCAGGAAACUGGUGCUAAUACCGGAUAGGAGCGCCUGCUGCAUGGUGGGGGUUGGAAAGUUUCGGCGGUUGGGGAUGGACUCGCGGCUUAUCAGCUUGUUGGUGGGGUAGUGGCUUACCAAGGCUUUGACGGGUAGCCGGCCUGAGAGGGUGACCGGCCACAUUGGGACUGAGAUACGGCCCAGACUCCUACGGUAGGCAGCAGUGGGGAAUAUUGCACAAUGGGCGGAAGCCUGAUGCAGCAACGCCGCGUGCGGGAUGACGGCCUUCGGGUUGUAAACCGCAUUCGCCUGUGACGAAGCGUGAGUGACGGUAAUGGGUAAAGAAGCACCGGCUAACUACGUG